This 159-nucleotide ribosomal RNA is filed under the name uncultured Smithella sp. RNAcentral describes it as "partial 16S ribosomal RNA". It matches the Rfam family "Bacterial small subunit ribosomal RNA", at positions 1225 to 1382 of the family's 1533-position model. Lineage: Bacteria; Pseudomonadati; Thermodesulfobacteriota; Syntrophia; Syntrophales; Smithellaceae. The record is from RNAcentral.
CUACAAUAGGUGGGUACAAAGAGAAGCCAACUCGCGAGAGCGCGCCAAUCUCAAAAAGCCAUCCUCAGUUCGGAUUGGAGUCUGCAACUCGACUCCAUGAAGUUGGAAUCGCUAGUAAUCGCGGAUCAGCAUGCCGCGGUGAAUACGUUCCCGGGCCUU